RNAcentral lists this ribosomal RNA (233 nucleotides) under uncultured bacterium. RNAcentral's name for it is "partial 16S ribosomal RNA". It matches the Rfam family "Bacterial small subunit ribosomal RNA", at positions 1268 to 1500 of the family's 1533-position model. The record is from RNAcentral.
CUAAACUGAAAAAAGUAAGUCUCAGUUCGGAUUGAAGGCUGAAAUUCGCCUUCAUGAAGCCGGAAUUGCUAGUAAUGGCAGGUCAGCAUACUGCCGUGAAUACGUUCCCGGGCCUUGUACACACCGCCCGUCACACCAUGAGAGUUGGGAAUACCCGAAGCCUGUGAGCUAACUAUACGAGGCAGCAGUCGAAGGUAGAAUCAAUGAUUGGGGUGAAGUCGUAACAAGGUACC